This 1576-nucleotide long non-coding RNA is filed under the name Nicotiana tabacum (common tobacco). Its description in RNAcentral is "long non-coding RNA (NTAB_LNC006429)". Lineage: Eukaryota; Viridiplantae; Streptophyta; Magnoliopsida; Solanales; Solanaceae. The record is from RNAcentral.
GUCAACAACCACCUCCUUCUAUGGCCGUCAACAACAACCACCAUCCCUCCGUCAACAAAAUCGUUCCAGCUCUUUGACUAGUUCCAAGAUUUAAUUUUCUUUUUUCUUCACCCAUAAACUUUAUCUCUUCCACCUGAAACAACUACCUCCUUCUAUUAAUCCAAGCUCCACAUUUUCAAAUAGCCCCAAAAUUUUAGGGUUUUUUCUCGACUAAGCUCGACCACCUCCUUUUGCAAUUUCUCAAUAGUUGAGCCAUAAUUUGUAGAUUCCAUUAGUGAGGAAGAAAUUGCAACUGAUAGCCGUGGGAUAAAUCGCGGUAAGUUUUUUUAAUAUCUUUUUAAUUUAAAUUUUAGAUAACCGCAUUUGACAGUUGUGUUUUUGAAUGAAUAUUUUAGUAUUAAUAUUCGUUAUUAUCCGAUUCAACUGAUUUUUAUUUUUGGGAGUAUUUGAGCGGCAUAGUAUAAUUGAAUGGAGAUUAAACACACUGGUGCAUGUCUUCUUAUUGUGCUUGAAAUUAUUAAUUUCAUUAAAAUUAUGCUUUACGUAGUACAAUUGAUAGGGUUUGAUUCUAUAUUUUGUUAGAUAUAUCACUGUUUGAUUUAGUUGUCUUUGUUAAAUUUUUGUUUCUUGUUCAACUUAACAACUUUAAAGCUGUGAGUUUUUUCUACUGAAGCUUUUAAUCUAAGUUAGAGUUCUAUUAGGAUUUUGUUGUACUAUAAUUUCUCCCUUUUUGUUCUUGUUAUAUAUGAGUUCGUAGCAUAUAUGUGACCUUACUUAGCACAGUUUAAUAUCUUUUCAUUAUAUACUGAAGUUAAAAGGUGAGCAAAAACCCGAAUAUGCUUGCUUGUUACAAGUAGAUAUCCAUAUCCCUUAUUUUGCCACGCUAAUGAUUUUUCUCAUUGUUAGCAACCAUAAGCCAGAAACUAAAGGAUAUAGUUUCUCAUUGUUAGCAACCAUAAGCCAGAAACUCCAGUUUAUGUGUUUGUCGUUGUAACUUACCUUCAAUUGAUAUAUUACAAUGUUGUCUGAAUAAGUCGUGUUAACUGAAAAAUGGUAAGGGCUUUCAAUCGUGAAAUCUUUUUUUGAUAUAAUGUUGACUUGGAAUUUGCUAAGGAGCAGAUAUAUGCUGCUGCAACUUUCUUUUCUUUCAGAACACUCUGAACUCAUAGCUGAUAUGAUUUCUUAUUGUCGAAGUCACCAUUAAAAUUGUAUACACAAAGUGAUACAUAUCUCUACGUAGGUUAAACUGAUCAUAUGUUUUCUUCUCAAUGUGGAAAGUACUAACACUAUUUGGAAAUCAUAAGCUUCUUGAUCAGUUUUAGAUUCCAUCCGGAGCUAUUUUUGGGCUAAAUUUUAUAGGCGAAUUGUGGUUAUUUAUAUUACAUGAACUCACUUAUAGAUGAGUAUCUGAUAUAAGCACAUCUAAUUGCUAUCUAGUACAUCAAAGUAAAUAAAGAAUCCAUGUAAUCAGGUGGCUAUUUAGAUUUUUUCAUUAUACUUAAUUUGAGCCUAAUAUGGAUAAGAGUUAACUUUGCUUACCUUGAAUAUCAAUUUUGGUGAUUUGAAUAUGUUAUAU